UGGGGAAUAUUGCGCAAUGGGCGAAAGCCUGACGCAGCGACGCCGCGUGAGGGAUGAAGGUCUUCGGAUCGUAAACCUCUGUCAGCAGGGAAGAAGGUUAUGCGUGCUAAUCAGCGUGUAAUUGACGGUACCUGCAAAGGAAGCACCGGCUAACUCCGUGCCAGCAGCCGCGGUAAUACGGAGGGUGCGAGCGUUAAUCGGAAUUACUGGGCGUAAAGCGCUCGUAGGUAGUAUAUCAAGUCAAGGGUGAAAUCCCCGCGCUCAACGUGGGAACUGCUUGUAAACUGGUAGACUUGAGUGUGUGAGAGGAUAGUGGAAUUCCAGGUGUAGGAGUGAAAUCCGUAGAUAUCUGGAGGAACAUCAGUGGCGAAGGCGACUAUCUGGCACAUAACUGACACUGAGGAGCGAAAGCGUGGGUAGCAAACAGGAUUAGAUACC
Molecule: ribosomal RNA, 438 nt
Filed under: uncultured bacterium
Lineage: Bacteria
Description: bacterial SSU rRNA
Rfam family: Bacterial small subunit ribosomal RNA
Source: RNAcentral